UAGUAGUAGUAGUAGUAGUAGUAGUAGUAGCAGUAGUAGUAGUAGUAGUAGUAGUAGUAUAGUAUAUAGUAGUAGUAGUAGUAGUAGUAGUAGUAGUAGUAAGGGUAGUCAUAUAGUAGUAGUAGUAGUAGUAGUAGUAGUAGUAUAGGUAGUCAUAUAGUAGUAGUAGUAGUAGUAGUAGUAAGGGUAGUCAUAUAGUAGUAGUAGUAGUAAUUAGGAUGAUCAGAGUGAACUGUUAAUAUUUUGUUCAACAAUCUUUUUUUUUUUUUUUCAUUUAAUCCUGCCUUUCAGAAUCUAAAUAAGGUAUUUACAUGUCUCCCAGAAGACAAAAUACUAACAAUUUACACUGAUCAUCCUUUUCAAAAGUUUACACUCCCCUGGCUCUUAAUGUAUCGUGUUGC
Long non-coding RNA from Ictalurus punctatus (channel catfish), 401 nucleotides. Lineage: Eukaryota; Metazoa; Chordata; Actinopteri; Siluriformes; Ictaluridae. The record is from Ensembl.